This is a long non-coding RNA of Populus trichocarpa (black cottonwood), 917 nucleotides long. RefSeq lists it as uncharacterized. The record is from RefSeq and is a predicted model, not a curated record. The transcript has 2 exons. Lineage: Eukaryota; Viridiplantae; Streptophyta; Magnoliopsida; Malpighiales; Salicaceae.
UUUCAUGCAAGAUCUUAAAAUUUCCCUUGGAUCUAAUUCACCGUUUUUUGUUUGAAUUUACAUGAUCAAGUCUGUAUUAUGCGCGCGUAAAUUUAUACAUUAACUUAUUCACAAUUCCAAUCUAUUUUUUUCUGGAUUUUCACCCUAAAUUACCCCAAGUUUUUUUUAAGUAAUUAUUUUCCCGUUUGGAAGUUACUGGGAUUUACAAUAUCUCUUUUCCCUCGUCACUUGUAGAUCAGUGGUGCACCUUCACGCUAUUUGAGAUUGGAGAUCUGCUCUGUUGAAGUUUUGGCCUCCUCCUCUCUUUUUACUGGUACGUCGAACCUUUCCCUCUCUAAAGACUUGGCCGCUGCUGGAAGAUAAAAAGGUUCUCUCGUGGAGAAACAGCUGCUGCUUCGGGUGAUGCUCAUCGUUAUUGGAGUCGUCAAUGGCAUUGAUGGCAAUUGUGGUGGUUGAAAAAGAUUGAAGCUCGGCAACUGGUGUAGGUGUGUUUUGACAGCUAAGAGGGACACCGCUGCUGGGAGGAGGAGGUGGCGCUGCUGGUAACACCGAUGAAGAUACCCCACCGGUUUUCUGCAAGCAACAGAGAUCAUUCUUUGCAGCAUACAAGGGGAAUGCUGGACUGUGAAUUCAUUCCCAGAAUCAGAAGGGCGAGCAUUGCACACUUCUUAUGGAGGAUGGAUAGCUUUUGUUCGUGACAACAAUUAUCAAGAUAGGGGAAUCAUCCAUGUCGAAAACCAGCAUCCAAUGAUUACCUCUUGUAGCAGCGUCUCACAAUGAUCCUCCGUCGUGAGGUGCAUGGAAGAGGUCGGCUUUCACCGGACAUAUGUUUUUUUAUGGGGAGGAGUGUAAUUUGUAGAACACUAACUUCACGGCUUUUAUAAAUCUUAUUACAUGAGCUUUUUAAAUUUUUUUAA